This 533-nucleotide ribosomal RNA is filed under the name uncultured Bacteroidota bacterium. RNAcentral's name for it is "bacterial SSU rRNA". It matches the Rfam family "Bacterial small subunit ribosomal RNA", at positions 224 to 754 of the family's 1533-position model. The record is from RNAcentral. Lineage: Bacteria; Pseudomonadati; Bacteroidota.
GAUGAGCAUGCGUCCCAUUAGCUAGUUGGUAAGGUAACGGCUUACCAAGGCAACGAUGGGUAGGGGUCCUGAGAGGGAGAUCCCCCACACUGGUACUGAGACACGGACCAGACUCCUACGGGAGGCAGCAGUGAGGAAUAUUGGUCAAUGGGCGCAAGCCUGAACCAGCCAUGCCGCGUGCAGGAUGAAGCAUCUAUGGUGUGUAAACUGCUUUUGUACGAGAAGAAACACUCCUUCGUGAAGGAGCUUGACGGUAUCGUAAGAAUAAGGACCGGCUAACUCCGUGCCAGCAGCCGCGGUAAUACGGAGGGUCCAAGCGUUAUCCGGAAUCAUUGGGUUUAAAGGGUCCGUAGGCGGUUUUGUAAGUCAGUGGUGAAAGCCCAUCGCUCAACGGUGGAACGGCCAUUGAUACUGCAAGACUUGAAUUAUUAGUAAGUAACUAGAAUAUGUAGUGUAGCGGUGAAAUGCUUAGAUAUUACAUGGAAUACCAAUUGCGAAGGCAGGUUACUACUAAUAUAUUGACGCUGAUGGAC